UGUGUUAACAAUUGUAAGUCGCUCUGGAUAAGAGCAUCUGCUAAAUGACUAAAA
Non-coding RNA from Salmo salar (Atlantic salmon), 54 nucleotides. NCBI's taxonomy places the organism in Eukaryota, Metazoa, Chordata, Actinopteri, Salmoniformes, Salmonidae. The record is from Rfam.